AUGAACUUAGUCCCGAUAGUUUUUGCAUAUCUAUGUUGUAGAUCAAUGGCCUGUGCUACGGUUCCCUUGAAUUUUAAUGCGUUCCUAGAGAAAGCUAAGUUGAAAGAUGAUGGUAGCAACUACAUGGACUGGGUCCGUAACUUGAGGAUUAUCAUCAUUGCUGCACAGAAGAAUUACGUCCUUGAAGCACCGCUAGGUGCAAGGCCUGCUGCAGGAGCAACAUUGGAUGCUAUGAACUUCUGGCAAGCUAAAUCUGAUGACUACUUGAUAGUUCAGUGUGCCAUGCUUUCCGGCUUAGAAUCGGGACUUCAAAGACAUUUUGAACGUCAUGGAGCAUAUGAGAUGUCCAAGGAGUUGAAGUUAAUAUUUCAAGCAAAUGUCCGAGUUGAGAGAUAUGAAGUCUCCAACAAGUUCUAUAGUUGCAAGAUGGAGGAGAAAAGUUCUGUCACUGAACACAUACUCAUAAUGUCUGGGUACCAUAACCACUUGACUCAGCUGGGAGUUAAUCUUCCGGAUGAUAGUGUCAUUGACAGAGUUCUUCAAUCACCGCCAUCAAGCUAUAAAGGCUUCAUGAUGAACUAUAAUAUGCAAGGGAUGGAAAAGACAAUUCCUGAGCUCUUCGCGAUGCUUAAGGCUACGGAGGUAGAAAUCAAGAAGGAGCAUCAAGUUUUGAUGGUUAACAAGACCACUAGUUUCAAGAAAAAGGGCAAAUGUAAGAAGCAGAACAUCAAGAAGAAUAGCAAGCAAGUUGCUGCUCCCGGGAAGAAGCCC
RNAcentral lists this ribosomal RNA (771 nucleotides) under Triticum aestivum (bread wheat). RNAcentral describes it as "partial small subunit ribosomal RNA". The record is from RNAcentral. Lineage: Eukaryota; Viridiplantae; Streptophyta; Magnoliopsida; Poales; Poaceae.